GUAGGUUAUGAUGAUUUUUUUAUAUCGAAAUUACUAAGCAGUAUAUUAGAAAAACUGUGAUAAAAACAUUUUUUGUUUUGUUUUAGGACCAAAUUGAAGGGUUGUUAUGAUGCGAUCGUAACCAAAAUGUACAACACAUGUGUUACUGUUUUUUUGAGUUUUCUGUCAAAAUAGAACAUAUGAUGCCCAAACAAGUCAAUUCAACAAAAAGCACUGUAUCACCCUCUGCAUGAUUCUUAGGUGGAGCCAUACUUAACAUUUGUAACAGAUGUGCAUUUUGAUAAUAUAAUAAAUGUCUCUUCAAUAAUGUUGGGAGUCAACUUAUUCCAAACCGCUCAUACCAUGUAUUGAAAGAAUGACGAGUCAUAAACCAAAAUGAACAAAAAUGUAUAGCCAAAGUAAGACAAGAAAUCAGAACUUUGCAUGAGAGAGAUACGUUCUUUAUUAACAUUAUUUUCAAACGUUUUGUAACAGCAAUUUUUUUUAACGCGAAUUCAGAAGUAACAACUUCAUAAAUGGUGAUACCUUUGGGGACUAUUAUUUAACCAGAAUAGGCAUCGAUCUAGUUGUAAAAAUAACAGAAACGGUACCAUUUUUUCUGCACCAUUUCACAUAUUGGUAUUAGUGAGCAUCCUUACCGAUACGAUAUAUAAAUUUUGAAAAUCAACCGGUUAAUACAAGGCAGUUUGGCCUUGAAAUUUUUUACUAUUUACAAUUAAAUCAAAAUAUAUAAGGAACAAAACAAAACCUACAUUUGCAAUAGCAUUUCUAGAUAAUUCUUCACUGAACAGAAUGCAUCCGUUUAAUGUUAAAACCAGAAAGGGCUUAACGUAUAUGUAGUAUAUUAAUGACAAACAGUAUCAUAAUGUUGGUGAUUUAAUGUCUUAAAUUUAGAAUUGAGCGGAACCUUAACAAAAGUAAUCGAACAAACCCAUACAUAAGCUAAGCUAUAGCAUAGGAUAGAAAAUCAUAC
Molecule: long non-coding RNA, 973 nt
Filed under: Mytilus galloprovincialis (Mediterranean mussel)
Lineage: Eukaryota; Metazoa; Mollusca; Bivalvia; Mytilida; Mytilidae
Source: RNAcentral